GCCUAACACAUGCAAGUCGAGCGGAAACGACACUAACAAUCCUUCGGGUGCGUUAAUGGGCGUCGAGCGGCGGACGGGUGAGUAAUGCCUAGGAAAUUGCCUUGAUGUGGGGGAUAACCAUUGGAAACGAUGGCUAAUACCGCAUAAUGCCUACGGGCCAAAGAGGGGGACCUUCGGGCCUCUCGCGUCAAGAUAUGCCUAGGUGGGAUUAGCUAGUUGGUGAGGUAAUGGCUCACCAAGGCGACGAUCCCUAGCUGGUCUGAGAGGAUGAUCAGCCACACUGGAACUGAGACACGGUCCAGACUCCUACGGGAGGCAGCAGUGGGGAAUAUUGCACAAUGGGCGAAAGCCUGAUGCAGCCAUGCCGCGUGUAUGAAGAAGG
Molecule: ribosomal RNA, 382 nt
Filed under: uncultured Vibrio sp.
Lineage: Bacteria; Pseudomonadati; Pseudomonadota; Gammaproteobacteria; Vibrionales; Vibrionaceae
Description: bacterial SSU rRNA
Rfam family: Bacterial small subunit ribosomal RNA
Source: RNAcentral